GAGAAACCGCUUGUGUAAUAAGCAGAUGGUGGCCAGACCAUGUGUAACAACAGAACUCUGUCCCGCAGUCUGCAGAGGCCGGUUCGGAAAGCCAUGGCCCAGUCUCUGCAGCAGGGAGCCUGAUACAGCCAGGUCAGGGUUCAGUCUAUAGCACGGACCCGGAUGUGUUUGCUGCUGCUUCUACUUCAGGACCAGCCAGAGAAAGGAAGAAAGCCUUCCCCACUGGCCGUCACUCGCUCCUCUCCAGCCAGUGACAGCUGCUGGUCUGCUUCUGGACUACAGAAUGGACGGUUUCAGAGAGUGUGCUGCUUUGAAUGAGAACGGCCUGCCAUGGGAUGGUGCACAGAAGAGACACCACGUGAGGACAAGCAGAAGGCAGCUGCGCGGGAGAGGCAGGCAGGAAGCCUCACCAGACACACAUCAUGCUAGCACUUUGAUCUUGAGCUUCUGGCCUCCAUAACUUUAGGAAAAUAAAUAUCGGUUGUUGAAGUCA
This is a non-coding RNA of Peromyscus maniculatus bairdii (prairie deer mouse), 493 nucleotides long. Lineage: Eukaryota; Metazoa; Chordata; Mammalia; Rodentia; Cricetidae. The record is from RefSeq and is a predicted model, not a curated record.